Molecule: ribosomal RNA, 425 nt
Filed under: uncultured bacterium
Lineage: Bacteria
Description: bacterial SSU rRNA
Rfam family: Bacterial small subunit ribosomal RNA
Source: RNAcentral
GUGAGGAAUAUUGCGCAAUGGGGGCAACCCUGACGCAGCGACGCCGCGUGGAGGACGAAGUCUUUCGGGAUGUAAACUCCUGUCAGUGGGGACGAUAAUGACGGUACCCACAGAGGAAGCACCGGCUAACUCCGUGCCAGCAGCCGCGGUAAGACGGAGGGUGCAAGCGUUGUUCGGAAUUACUGGGCGUAAAGCGUAUGUAGGCGGCAAGUUAAGUUCAAUGUUAAAGCCCACGGCUCAACCGAGGAGAUGCAUUGAAUACUGGCUAGCUAGAGGGUGUUAGAGGAAGACGGAAUUCCCAGUGUAGCGGUGAAAUGCGUAGAUAUUGGGAGGAACAUCGGUAGCGAAAGCGGUCUUCUGGGACAUACCUGACGCUGAGGUACGAAAGCGUGGGGAGCAAACGGGAUUAGAAACCCCGGUAGUCC